Mytilus trossulus (common blue mussel) is the source of this 410-nucleotide long non-coding RNA. RefSeq lists it as uncharacterized. The transcript is spliced from 2 exons. The record is from RefSeq and is a predicted model, not a curated record. NCBI's taxonomy places the organism in Eukaryota, Metazoa, Mollusca, Bivalvia, Mytilida, Mytilidae.
CUUUAACGAGAUCGCCAUAUUGAUUCUAUCACGACAAGUACACCACCACGCUUCGAUUUUUAUUUCAUAUCAAGCAUUUCAAAACAGCAUAAUGGUCCUGCUUGCUAUAAAAGGACAAAGAUGUUGAUCAAAUUUACCUGUCAGUGCAGCAUACAAAAGAUAUAAUAUCAUACAUGGGCUGAAUGUAGGACUCCCAAGUCUUUCUGAUUGAAAAUAAGACUUCCUGGCAAACAGGAACAACUAGUGAUGACUUUUUCCAAAAGUGACGGCACAGUCAUGUUGUGGACUGAUUACUACUAUCAAUGUGAUACUUAAAACUAACAAUGGUUAUGUAAGAGAGAAAAGUACAUGUGCUUAUCCUGACUGUAAAAUGGAUAAAAAAGCAAAUAAAUAUCUUGUGUUCAACUUCA